RNAcentral lists this small nuclear RNA (104 nucleotides) under Microcebus murinus (gray mouse lemur). The record is from RNAcentral. Lineage: Eukaryota; Metazoa; Chordata; Mammalia; Primates; Cheirogaleidae.
CAUUGUACAUCUUUGCAAUGAUUUAUUGGAACAAUAUAGAGACAAGAUUAGCAUGGGCCCUGUGCAAGGAUGUGUUCCUGAAAAAAAAAAUAAAACAAUGCAUC